CACCGCGGGCUUCUUCUUCGUCCUCUUAAAAGUUGAAGAAGCUCAUGUGAUGCUAGCGCCACCAGCUGCUCUGUCUAUUUAAAUGUGUCGCGAACGCCGGCUGGCCACAGCAGCGCGCACCACGUCGGAGCAGCAGCAGCAGCAGCAGCAGGCGGGACCGCAGCAGUACAGAUGUAAGUUUCAUGUAACUUCACACACUGUCCUAAAAAAUGUGCGGUUGUAUCUCUUUGUCAUGUCAUGGUGUCAUAUUUGCCCAAGUAAUCAUUUUAUGAGCAAAUAUGUGGCGACAUCAUGGAGGUAAAGCUCACUUAUUCCAUCAUUAAACUGCACAGCUGCAGUAAUCAGGCAGAUCUCAUUGAACAAACGAUCACCACGUGAGUGAAUGAAGGCUAAAAGUAAUGGAAAAGCUACUUUGUGAAUUUCUAAAGCAGUGCAAGAAUAUAAUACAGCAGCAUCCAUCACUUGCACAAUUACCAUUCAGUCUAAAACGGGCGCAGUACCUACUCUCUGCCUGCGGGGGUCG
Non-coding RNA from Xyrichtys novacula (pearly razorfish), 523 nucleotides. NCBI's taxonomy places the organism in Eukaryota, Metazoa, Chordata, Actinopteri, Labriformes, Labridae. The record is from the annotation of a GenBank genome assembly.